GUUUUGACUGGCGAGACCACUGGCAGGGUCAUUUUAUGGCAAGGCAUUCUUUGCGAGGAAAGAAGUGCACAGGCAAUUUAUCAUUGGCAUACAUUGCCCGUGGCAUGUUUGGCUUUCACAAAAUCUGGAAGUCAUUUCUAUUCUGGAGGUCAUGAGCGAGUGCUCGUUAAAUGGACUGUUGAUAAUCCAAAUCACCGUAGUACUCUUCCCCGUUUGCCUGGUGGUGUUUGUCAUAUAGCAGUUGGCCCAGAAAAUCAUAGGGUUGCAAUUUGCACUCAGGAUAAUGGUGUUCAAAUUUUAGAUGCACAAAAUAGAAUAAUAUCAUGUAUUCAGCACUUUGCUUGGGGUGUUUAUGUGGAUUUGAAAGACUCUGUAAAUGUACCGAAAACAAAUGCUGAACCACCUUUUCCAGCCGGUUUAGUAUAUGAUCCAACUACACAAUCCAUAGUUCUAAAUGGCCAAAC
Ctenocephalides felis (cat flea) is the source of this 464-nucleotide long non-coding RNA. RefSeq lists it as uncharacterized. The transcript has 3 exons. Lineage: Eukaryota; Metazoa; Arthropoda; Insecta; Siphonaptera; Pulicidae. The record is from RefSeq and is a predicted model, not a curated record.